RNAcentral lists this unclassified non-coding RNA (374 nucleotides) under uncultured bacterium. Its description in RNAcentral is "contains 16S-23S intergenic spacer region". The record is from RNAcentral.
UCCGAGUUGACCCCGGCAGUCUCCUAUGAGUCCCCGACAUUACUCGCUGGCAACAUAGGACGAGGGUUGCGCUCGUUGCGGGACUUAACCCAACAUCUCACGACACGAGCUGACGACAGCCAUGCACCACCUGUAUACCGACCUUGCGGGGGCUACAUCUCUGCAGCUUUCCGGCAUAUGUCAAACCCAGGUAAGGUUCUUCGCGUUGCAUCGUAUUAAACCACAUACUCCACCGCUUGUGCGGGCCCCCGUCAAUUCCUUUGAGUUUCAGUCUUGCGACCGUACUUCCCAGGCGGUCAACUUCACGCGUUAGCUUCGUUACUGAACAGCAAGCCGUCCAACAACCAGUUGACAUCGUUUAGGGCGUGGACUAC